GACGAACGCUGGCGGCGUGCUUAACACAUGCAAGUCGAACGGAAAGGCCCUGCUUGCAGGGUACUCGAGUGGCGAACGGGCGAGUAACACGUGGGUGAUCUGCCCUGCACUUCGGGAUAAGCCUGGGAAACUGGGUCUAAUACCGGAUAGGAGCCAUUUUUAGUGUGAUGGUUGGAAAGUUUUUUCGGUGUAGGAUGAGCUCGCGGCCUAUCAGCUUGUUGGUGGGGUAAUGGCCUACCAAGGCGGCGACGGGUAGCCGGCCUGAGAGGGUGGACGGCCACAUGGGGACUGAGAUAGGGCCCAGACUCCUACGGGAGGCAGCGGGGGGGAAUAUUGCACAAUGGGCGCAAGCCUGAUGCAGCGGCGCCGCGUGGGGGAUGACGGCCUUCGGUUUGUAAACUCCUUUCGCUAGGGACGAAGCUUUUUGGGAGGGACCCUAGAAAAGAAGCCCCGGCUAACUACGG
This 464-nucleotide ribosomal RNA is filed under the name uncultured bacterium. RNAcentral describes it as "partial 16S ribosomal RNA". It matches the Rfam family "Bacterial small subunit ribosomal RNA", at positions 28 to 506 of the family's 1533-position model. The record is from RNAcentral.